ACGUAUCCAACCUGCCGUCUACUCUUGGACAGCCUUCUGAAAGGAAGAUUAAUACAAGAUGGCAUCAUGAGUCCACAUGUUCACAUGAUUAAAGGUAUUCCGGUAGACGAUGGGGAUGCGUUCCAUUAGAUAGUAGGCGGGGUAACGGCCCACCUAGUCUUCGAUGGAUAGGGGUUCUGAGAGGAAGGUCCCCCACAUUGGAACUGAGACACGGUCCAAACUCCUACGGGAGGCAGCAGUGAGGAAUAUUGGUCAAUGGGCGAGAGCCUGAACCAGCCAAGUAGCGUGAAGGAUGACUGCCCUAUGGGUUGUAAACUUCUUUUAUAAAGGAAUAAAGUCGGGUAUGGAUACCCGUUUGCAUGUACUUUAUGAAUGAGGAUCGGCUAACUCCGUGCCAGCAGCCGCGGUAAUACGGAGGAUCCGAGCGUUAUCCGGAUUUAUUGGGUUUAAAGGGAGCGUAGAUGGAUGUUUAAGUCAGUUGUGAAAGUUUGCGGCUCAACCGUAAAAUUGCAGUUGAUACUGGAUAUCUUGAGUGCAGUUGAGGCAGGCGGAAUUCGUGGUGUAGCGGUGAAAUGCUUAGAUAUCACGAAGAACUCCGAUUGC
This 603-nucleotide ribosomal RNA is filed under the name uncultured Bacteroidales bacterium. RNAcentral describes it as "bacterial SSU rRNA". It matches the Rfam family "Bacterial small subunit ribosomal RNA", at positions 115 to 716 of the family's 1533-position model. The record is from RNAcentral. Lineage: Bacteria; Pseudomonadati; Bacteroidota; Bacteroidia; Bacteroidales.